UAAUGGCUGGGAACCUGCCCUAAUGUGGGGGAUAANUAUUGGAAACGAUAGCUAAUACCGCAUAAUGUCUUCGGACCAAAGAGGAGGAUCUUCGGACUUCUCGCGUUAGGAUGGGCCCAGUUGGGAUUAGCUAGUAGGUGAGGUAAUGGCUCACCUAGGCGACGAUCCCUAGCUGGUUUGAGAGGAUGAUCAGCCACACUGGAACUGAGACACGGUCCAGACUCCUACGGGAGGCAGCAGUGGGGAAUAUUGCACAAUGGGGGAAACCCUGAUGCAGCCAUGCCGCGUGUAUGAAGAAGGCCUUCGGGUUGUAAAGUACUUUCAGCAGUGAGGAAGGUUACGUAGUUAAUACCUGCGUAGCUUGACGUUAGCUGCAGAAGAAGCACCGGCUAACUCCGUGCCAGCAGCCGCGGUAAUACGGAGGGUGCGAGCGUUAAUCGGAAUUACUGGGCGUAAAGCGCAUGCAGGCGGACUGUUAAGUCAGAUGUGAAAGCCCCGGGCUUAACCUGGGAAUCGCAUUUGAAACUGGCAGUCUAGAGUCUUGUAGAGGGGGGUAGAAUUUCAGGUGUAGCGGUGAAAUGCGUANAGAUCUGAAGGAAUACCGGUGGCGAAGGCGGCCCCCUGGACAAAGACUGACGCUCAGAUGCGAAAGCGUGGGGAGCAAACAGGAUUANAUACCCUGNNANUCCACGCCGUAAACGAUGNCUACUUGG
Molecule: ribosomal RNA, 713 nt
Filed under: Enterovibrio sp. MR05-07
Lineage: Bacteria; Pseudomonadati; Pseudomonadota; Gammaproteobacteria; Vibrionales; Vibrionaceae
Description: bacterial SSU rRNA
Rfam family: Bacterial small subunit ribosomal RNA
Source: RNAcentral